UUACUUAACAGUGUGUCUAAUAUC
RNAcentral lists this non-coding RNA (24 nucleotides) under Arabidopsis thaliana (thale cress). Lineage: Eukaryota; Viridiplantae; Streptophyta; Magnoliopsida; Brassicales; Brassicaceae. The record is from RNAcentral.